UACGUAGGGUGCAAGCGUUGUCCGGAAUUAUUGGGCGGAAAGAGCUCGUAGGCGGUUUGUUGCGUCGGCUGUGAAAUCCCGAGGCUCAACCUCGGGUCUGCAGUCGAUACGAGCAAACUAGAGUGUUGCAGGGGAGACUGGAAUUCCUGGUGUAGCGGUGAAAUGCGCAGACAUCAGGAGGAACACCGGUGGCGAAGGCGGGUCUCUGGGCAACAACUGACGCUGAGGAGCGAAAGCGUGGGGAGCGAACAGG
RNAcentral lists this ribosomal RNA (253 nucleotides) under uncultured bacterium. RNAcentral describes it as "partial 16S ribosomal RNA". It matches the Rfam family "Bacterial small subunit ribosomal RNA", at positions 524 to 776 of the family's 1533-position model. The record is from RNAcentral.